CUGAAUAAUUUGAGAGAGAGAGAGAGAGAUGGCAUCUGUUGCUUUGACUUCUCUCAGUGCAACAAUGAAGUUGGAGUUUCUGCAACCCAAUAAUCCAAGGGUUCCUCUUGAUGAUGAAGCAUCCAUAUCAAUCAAUUCUUUGUUUGAAAAGAUUUCAUCUUUGCAAGCUUUUGUGCACGAGAAAUCUGGGGGUGGCCCUGCAACCAGAGAUUUGGAGAUGGAGAUCAGAGACUUCGCACUGGAAGCCGAAGAUCAAAUCGAAAUACAACUAAGCAACUUUCUUCUGGCCAAGAACGCAGAGGACCAACAAAAAGCUUCUCAGCAACUCCACCACAUCUUGAGAGAAGCGGCAGAAAACGCAGCAGAGUUGCUGAAACAUAGUAGCAGCAUAAGCAAAGAAGCAGUGAAGAAUGAAAGUGAAGGAGCACUGAUUCCUUGGAUAAAACAUUCUCCGGUGAUGCUUGAGGGGGGCACAAUGGUGGGUCGUCAACGUGAUCAUAUGCUGAUAGUGGAUAAACUCAUCGCCUAUGAAUACGGGGAAUUUAGAUUCAAAGUAAUCACAAUUCUUGGUAUGACCGGUAUAGGAAAAACAACUUUAGCUACAAGUGUCUAUAAUAAUCCAAAGGUUGCAUUACACUUCGAUGUACGAGGUUGGGUUACCAUGACUGGGGAAUACAACAAGACCCAAACACUACACGACCUUCUUUGGACACUAACAAAGGAGACAAACAUUCCUGAUGAUGAUGAUGUAGCAGCUAGGCAGGUAUACAACUUCUUGAGAGGUAAGAGGUUUCUAAUUGUUUUGGAUAACUUAUGCAACACUCAAGCUUGGUAUGAUAUAAGAGGAUAUCUUCCUGUUGGAGAUCAUAAUGGAAGUCGCCUAGUGCAAACCACUACGCAUUUAAGGAGGGAUUCUGGUGAGGAAUAUUGCCACCCAAGUUUCUAUGUCCAUCACAUGUCUUUGCUAAAUUCAGAAGAAAGUUGGGAAUUAUUUAGCAAUAACCCUUUUUUGGAACUACAUAUGGCAUCUAAAUUUAAAAAAAUUAGGAGCCAAAUUGUAGAGACAUGUGAAGGAUUGCCGCACUCAAUACUUGUAGUUGCAGAACGUCUAUCUAAGUGUGACAACAUAAAACAAGAAUGGAAGAAGGUUCAAAAGGAAAUAGAGUUGCUUGGGGUUCUAGAUAGCAACGCACUCACCCUCACUUACAAUCAAUUGCUAGAACAUUUAAAAGUUUGCUUUCUAUAUUUUGGAGUCUUUCCAAAACGUAGUGCAAUCAAAGUGAAACUACUUAUUAGGUUAUGGAUUGCUGAGGGAUUUAUUAAGCCAUUGGAGUGUAAGGAGUUAGAAAGUCGAGCUUAUGAGUAUUUACAAGAGUUCAUUGAUAGAAGUCUUAUUCUAUUUGACAAUUGGAGUUCUUCUGGAAAAAUUAAGAAUUGUAGGAUGCAUAGUGCCUUGCAUAGCUUUUGCGUAAGAGAAGCUCAGAAAGAGGGCAUUUUAUGUGCUUUAAAUACUCGGCAACUUCCACUAGGGCCAUUUAGCAUGUUUGCAAAUUCAUGCCGCUGGUUAAGUUUAUACACACAUAAAUUUGACUAUUAUGUGUUGUUUAAAACAAACAACCCUCGUUCCAUUUUCUUCUUUCAAGAAGAUGCUGAAAUAUUUGUAUCUUUCAAGUUGCUUAGAGUUUUGGCUUUUGUUCCAUCUUCAUUUCUUCAAGGAGUGCCAACACGCUUACAGGAUUUAGUUUUUUUGAGAUACCUAUCUGUAUCUGAAUGGUUUGAGGGUCUUGAGUACGUAGUGUCAACCAAUCGAAACUUGCAGACACUAGUUGUUUCUAGUAAAGAAUCCCAACUUGGAACACCUACUAUUCAUUUGCCUUCAACAAUUUGGGAGUCACCGCAGUUACAACAUCUUAAACUUGACAAAUCGUAUGUGAUUGAUCCUCCAAGCAUGGAUAAAGAUAAUAUGCUAACAUUAUCUUGGGUGUGUCCAACUCAUUGCAGAACAAGAGUAUAUUGCAGGUUUCCGAACAUUAAAAAUUUGAAAAUAUUUGUAUCCCGCAACAAUCCAAUUAUUUUGGAUAAUCUUGAAUAUUUGAAACGACUUGAGAGGCUAGCAAUUUCAGUUUCGUUAGACGAUGUUGUAACCCUUCCAAAAUCAUAUGUAUUUCCUUCACAACUAAAGAAGUUGAGCUUGAAUGGUAUUAACCUUUCGAAUAGCUAUUUAACGGUAAUUGGCAUGUUACCUAAGCUUGAAUUUCUCAAGUUGAAAAAUGUGUUUCAUGGGAAAGUAUGGGAAGUAGAAGCAAGAGGAUUUCCUAAAUUACAAUUCUUGCUUCUCGAAGAUAAAACGCUCAAGCGAUGGAGAGCUGAUGAAUAUUCGUUUCUUUGGCUUGAGCGCUUAGUCCUAAGAUUUUGUUAUUGUUUGGAAAGUAUCCCUCAUACUAUGGAACAUAUUUGGUUCUUGAAGUCAAUUGAGUUCCAGCAGUGUUGUCCUUCCGUUGUCAAUUCUGCAGAGGAUCUCCAACGUAAAAGAAACAGACUAGGCCAAGCUUUUGAGAUCAUAAUCGUGGGACCUGAAUAUGAUGAUGAACCAGAUGUAGACACACUGAAGUGUCUAUGUAUGCCUUCAAUGCUGAAAGACAAGCUAAGGGAAUAUUUGGGAAGAAUACUUCAAGUUGAAUAAUCAAAUACAAGGAAGAGUACAAUGGAGCAAAGAUGAUGACCACUACUAUGAAACUAAUCUAGAUUUCGAACAUGCAUGCCACACACAUACGAGUAUUGGUUACUAACUAUUUCUAGUUGCUUGGUUGGCGAAUAGUACUUUUGAAUUAGCGGCGAUCCUACGCCACCGCCGCUUCUAGUGUCGCCGGCGUGAAUCAAGAGACCACUCCGGUCGCACAAUCUCCAGCCACACAGUCUCCAGUCAUGCGAUUCCCUACUCGUGUUGGUCCAGAGUUAGUUCCGCAGAGGAACUCGAUCAACCGUGUUCGCGCAUCGCCCAGCAAUCCACAGAGGAUUAUUGUUACGCAGAGUAACAACAAUGCCGACGCACCAGUCUGAUUAGCAUCACCAAGGAUUUCGCAGAGGAAUCUGAGUUCGGAGCAGCGGACUUCCAUAGCCGAUCCGCAGCGGAAGGCGAUCCACGGAGUUUGUCCGUUGUUCCCGGUCAUUCAAUCACCAGUUCAGGUUCAGAUGACCUCCACAGCCGUUCCGCAGCGGAAGGAAGGAGUUCUUAGCCAAAAACAGAUGGAACAAUCCUCCGAUUCAGCCACAGCGGUUGUGUCUUUCGAUCCGAAAUUCGUUCGGAGAGAAACAGAGAAGAGCAUCACCGGAGUUGGAGCAGAGGAAGCGGCGUUGCUGGAGACAGAACUCAAGGACGCCGUUUCUCUGUCUCGCCGUCGCCUUCGAGCCAAUGCCGCCACCGGUGAGGAGACGGCGCCGGGAGUGGAGCCGCAGAAGAUGUGGCGGGAGAUAACAGCUCAGAAUUUGUUGAAAGUUUUUAACAAUUUUAAGUUCGUUUUGAACGAGCAUUCAAUUCGUGACUUGAUUGUGGCUGCCGAUGCUAAUGCAUCUAAAUUGAGCUGAAACAUUGCUGCAGAGUGCAGUGUCGUUUUUUAUAAGGAGUCUAAGCAGGUUUCCUAUGAUGUUAUUAGGGAUGAGAAUGGAAACGUUAAAUUUGAUUGCUCAGCUAUUGGUAAGCAGUUUACUGCUGAAAAAAUAUCUUCUCAGGUCGUGAGAAAGCUUGUGGAUGAUGCAUCCAAGUUUUUGAUUGACAAAGUUUCCAAAGUUGUAGUCACAGUUCUGGUACAUGGACGGUCAAUAGUGGAAUCCACUUUAGGGCGUUCUGCAAGGCCUGGUAAUGGGACCAUUGAGGAUGGUAAUGGAGUCAAGUGUAAUAUGGAUGAUAUACCAUCAUCAGAGGGUGGUGAGAAUUACCGAGCUGCUGCUUUGGCAAAUGAAGGAUUUGUAAAAGGUUCUAGAAUUAAUGGAUAUAAUGAGGUUUCUGUGGAUCCAUCUAAAAAUGAAAAGGAAGAGGGUGAGUUAUCACCAAAUGGUGAUUUUGAAGAUGGUGGAGAUGCUGAUGAUGAGGAUAGCGAUAAUGCAUUUGUGGCUAGUGAUGAUGUUUCUGGCAGUGAAUCUGCUGCAGACGAGUGCUCAAGAGAAGAGCCUGAAGAAGAGGAAGAUGCAGAACAAGAUGAAGUUGAUGGAAAAACAUAGAGUGAAGGUGAGGCUGAGGGCACAAAUGAUGCACAUUUCGUUGGAGAUGGCUCAUCAUUGCCCUUAGCCGACCGUUGUUUGCUUGCUUCAAAGCCUUUAACAAAGCAUGUGGUGGCUGCACCUGCACCAUGUAAGGGUGCAAAGAAGUGUCUGCGUGUCUUUUAUGGAAAUGACUCGUUUUAUGUGUUUUUUAGACUUCACCAAAUACUGUAUGAGAGGCUAUUGUUGGCAAAGCUCAACUCAUCAUCACCUGAUUCAAAGUGUAAAGCUGGAAAACCUGCUGACAUUUUUCCUCCGGAGGGACAAGAAGGUUUCUGCUGGUGUGCUUGUUUUUGCAACUGCUAUCUGGGAUUGAAAUCAAUACAGAUUUAGCUAGACUUCGAGACAUUGCAUCUGGGAAAGACUUGAAGACGUUCCUUGGAGUUAUUGCUGUUAUGGUUGCCGCUAGGGAAGGCCAUGCUGACACCAUUUUUGUUCUUUUGUAUCUAAGCUGGACGUGUAGGAUCUACACGCUCCACAGGGGUGUUGGAGGAUAAAAAUAAUAAUAUCCUCCCUUCCUCUUUUAUUCUUUUAUUUUCCCAUAUAUAAACCAAUGUAUCUUCAUCAAUAA
RNA transcript from Ipomoea nil (Japanese morning glory), 4828 nucleotides. It is a transcript of the gene named putative late blight resistance protein homolog R1A-4, with no coding region annotated. The transcript has 4 exons. NCBI's taxonomy places the organism in Eukaryota, Viridiplantae, Streptophyta, Magnoliopsida, Solanales, Convolvulaceae. The record is from RefSeq and is a predicted model, not a curated record.